Molecule: small RNA, 28 nt
Filed under: Bombyx mori (domestic silkworm)
Lineage: Eukaryota; Metazoa; Arthropoda; Insecta; Lepidoptera; Bombycidae
Description: ovarian small RNA-36259
Source: RNAcentral
UGUUUGCGUGUAAUAGAUUGAAAUGAGC